Molecule: ribosomal RNA, 584 nt
Filed under: Lacticaseibacillus rhamnosus
Lineage: Bacteria; Bacillati; Bacillota; Bacilli; Lactobacillales; Lactobacillaceae
Description: bacterial SSU rRNA
Rfam family: Bacterial small subunit ribosomal RNA
Source: RNAcentral
GGACGGGUGAGUAACACGUGGGUAACCUGCCCUUAAGUGGGGGAUAACAUUUGGAAACAGAUGCUAAUACCGCAUAAAUCCAAGAACCGCAUGGUUCUUGGCUGAAAGAUGGCGUAAGCUAUCGCUUUUGGAUGGACCCGCGGCGUAUUAGCUAGUUGGUGAGGUAACGGCUCACCAAGGCAAUGAUACGUAGCCGAACUGAGAGGUUGAUCGGCCACAUUGGGACUGAGACACGGCCCAAACUCCUACGGGAGGCAGCAGUAGGGAAUCUUCCACAAUGGACGCAAGUCUGAUGGAGCAACGCCGCGUGAGUGAAGAAGGCUUUCGGGUCGUAAAACUCUGUUGUUGGAGAAGAAUGGUCGGCAGAGUAACUGUUGUCGGCGUGACGGUAUCCAACCAGAAAGCCACGGCUAACUACGUGCCAGCAGCCGCGGUAAUACGUAGGUGGCAAGCGUUAUCCGGAUUUAUUGGGCGUAAAGCGAGCGCAGGCGGUUUUUUAAGUCUGAUGUGAAAGCCCUCGGCUUAACCGAGGAAGUGCAUCGGAAACUGGGAAACUUGAGUGCAGAAGAGGACAGUGGAACUCC